UACGUGAGUGGCAAACGUUAUCCGGAAUCACUGGGCGUAAAGCGUCCGCAGGGGGCAUAGCAAGUGUGCUGUUAAAUCUACUGGCUCAACUGGUAGGCCGCAGCGCAAACUGCUGUGCUAGAGGGAUGUAGAGGUGAGCGGAAUUCCCGGAGUAGGAGUAAUAUCCGUAGAUACCGGGAGGAACACCAAUAGCGAAGGCAGCUCACUGGACAUUUCCUGACCCUCAGGGACGAAAGCGUGGGGAGCGAACCCG
Molecule: ribosomal RNA, 253 nt
Filed under: uncultured bacterium
Lineage: Bacteria
Description: partial 16S ribosomal RNA
Rfam family: Bacterial small subunit ribosomal RNA
Source: RNAcentral